Molecule: non-coding RNA, 525 nt
Organism: Musa acuminata subsp. malaccensis (wild Malaysian banana)
Lineage: Eukaryota; Viridiplantae; Streptophyta; Magnoliopsida; Zingiberales; Musaceae
Source: RefSeq, a predicted model, not a curated record
ACAAGUCUACCAUGCCAAAUGGGAAUAAGAUGUUGUAGUAUAACGAGUGCAAAGUAGCAUGCAUGAAUGAAAUAUCAUUGUCUCAGCAUCGUGCUGGAAAGAAGCAUGCUGCUCGUCUUUGUUUUUUGCAAGCAAAUCAUGCUGCAUAUGGUGCUACUUUUGACACGAAAGCUUCAGGAAAUGAACAUGCCUGGAGACUUAAAAACGUGGAAUCACAGAAUACUGCAGGCACAUCGAACAUCGGUCCUCAAUGAAGAAGGGAAGGGGCACCGAUCGAUGAAAAUGUAUCCGGUACCAGGACUUGCAAGAUUUGUCUUCGAUACAACUGAGAACAAAGAGUUAAUCAUCCUCCUAUUCUUAUGCAACUGUCUUCCUGUUAGCUCUUUCUCCUGUCUCAAAUAGUCUCUUAUCUUACCUGUAAAUCCUCAAACAAGAUCUUUUGGCUUUGUUGCAACCCUCAAAGUAUAACCAUUGAACUGGUCCUUUCUUUGCUUUUAUGGAUGACAACAUAUUGCAGUUUUUUGA